CACGUAGGGCGCGAGCGUUGUCCGGAAUUAUUGGGCGUAAAGAGCUCGUAGGCGGCCUGUUGCGUCCGCUGUGAAAGCCCGGGGCUUAACCCCGGGUCGGCAGUGGAUACGGGCAGGCUGGAGGCAGGCAGGGGAGAAUGGAAUUCCUGGUGUAGCGGUGAAAUGCGCAGAUAUCAGGAGGAACACCGGUGGCGAAGGCGGUUCUCUGGGCCUUACCUGACACUGAGGAGCGAAAGCGUGGGGAGCGAACAGG
This 253-nucleotide ribosomal RNA is filed under the name uncultured bacterium. Its description in RNAcentral is "partial 16S ribosomal RNA". It matches the Rfam family "Bacterial small subunit ribosomal RNA", at positions 524 to 776 of the family's 1533-position model. The record is from RNAcentral.